CCCAGCUACAGAGCUUUCCCCUUGACAAGAACAGUGUCCCUGUGGAUGGGUCUUCUCCCAACAGAAAUGAUGCCUUGACUGAGAAUUCUGACCUCCCCUUCUGGGCCAUCAUCCUCGUCUGCUUGGCAGGACUCCUGGUGCUCGUAAUAUGCUUGAUCU
Molecule: non-coding RNA, 159 nt
Organism: Ceratotherium simum simum (southern white rhinoceros)
Lineage: Eukaryota; Metazoa; Chordata; Mammalia; Perissodactyla; Rhinocerotidae
Source: RefSeq, a predicted model, not a curated record